This is a long non-coding RNA of Amphiprion ocellaris (clown anemonefish), 779 nucleotides long. The record is from Ensembl. NCBI's taxonomy places the organism in Eukaryota, Metazoa, Chordata, Actinopteri, Pomacentridae.
GAUCUAGUCUGCUAUAUGUAUCUAUGGUCUGAACGCCUGCUAGCAUCUCUGGCUGCUGCUGACCUGGUUUUUGGAGUAAAACACGGUGGAAGCUGAAUUAGUGAGGAUGACUCCUGCUCCUGUCAUCUCUAAGCUCCUCACACAUCUUUACCUGCACAUGAGGAAAAUCACUCCUGUAGAAUGCAGAUGUUCAGAGGGAGAUGAUGCCACAUCUGGUCCAGCUGAUGGAAGGUCUUGAAGUUCUCUGACUGGCCUCGACUGAAGAUGGUCGUCUCACUGGAUUUAAGGUUCAGAUGCUCAGUAACAAACUCCACCAAUGAGCCAACAGGGAAGCUUUAGGUUUAUUAAAUGUUGCUAUGAAGGUUUCGCUGUUUUUCUUAGUGAAUGCAAUGAGCUCCAACUGAAACUUGAAUUAGAACUUAGAAGUAAAUCCUUCCAUCUGAAAGGAUUUAGUUGCAUUAAUAACCUCAUAACAUUCUAAUUUUUAUUCCAGUCUUGGUUGGAAAUAGAAUCUCUGUAUUGAUUCAGGUAAAAACUGAACUUCACAGCAUGUUGGAGCAAAACAACCAGAUGAAAACUGUGAUGGUGUUGGAUUGUCAGACCGUAAUGUUGCAGCUCAAAGCAGCUUUUCUAUCUCAGUUCAUUCUGACAUUCAGCUAUGAAUCAACACAGCAGAUGGUGAUCCAUGCUGUGGAAGUCUCACAUCUCCUGAUUUAAUGGAGCUACUUUGCACUUUUUACACUGUUUAUUCACCAACACUUUAUUUAAUAAAAGUCCCA